RNAcentral lists this ribosomal RNA (52 nucleotides) under Geranium cuneatum. RNAcentral describes it as "partial 28S ribosomal RNA". The record is from RNAcentral. Lineage: Eukaryota; Viridiplantae; Streptophyta; Magnoliopsida; Geraniales; Geraniaceae.
GCGACCCCAGGUCAGGCGGGGCUACCCGCUGAAUUUAAGCAUAUCAAUAAGC